AAUAUCGCGCAAUGGAGGGAACUCUGACGCAGUGACGCCGCGUGAGCGAUGAAGGUUUUCGGAUCGUAAAUCUCUGUCCUUGGGGAAGAAGGUCUUCGGACUUGACGGUACCCGAGGAGGAAGCCUCGGCUAACUACGUCACAGCAGCAGCGGUAAUACGUAGGGGGCAAGCGUUGUCCGGAAUUAUUGGGCGUAAAGGGUGCGUAGGCGGCUUGUUAAGUCAGAUGUGAAAGACCACGGCUUAACCGUGGGGUUGCAUUUGAAACUGGAAGGCUUGAGUAUCGGAGAGGGUAGUAGAAUUCCCAGUGUAGCGGUGAAAUGCGUAGAUAUUGGGAGGAACACCAGUGGCGAAGGCGACUACCUGGACGAAAACUGACGCUGAUGCACGAAAGCUAGGGGAGCAAAC
RNAcentral lists this ribosomal RNA (406 nucleotides) under uncultured bacterium. RNAcentral's name for it is "partial 16S ribosomal RNA". It matches the Rfam family "Bacterial small subunit ribosomal RNA", at positions 360 to 773 of the family's 1533-position model. The record is from RNAcentral.